GAACGCUAGCGACAGGCCUAACACAUGCAAGUCGAGGGGCAGCGACAAGGAGCAAUCUGAGGUGGCGACCGGCGCACGGGUGAGUAACACGUAUGCAACCUGCCUGUAAGCGGGGAAUAACCCGUUGAAAGACGGACUAAUACCGCAUAAUACUAAAUUACUGCAUGGUAAUUAUUUAAACAUUUAUGGCUUACAGAUGGGCAUGCGCAUGAUUAGCUAGUUGGAGAGGUAACGGCUCCCCAAGGCAACGAUCAUUAGGGGUUCUGAGAGGAAGGUCCCCCACACUGGUACUGAGACACGGACCAGACUCCUACGGGAGGCAGCAGUGAGGAAUAUUGGUCAAUGGACGAGAGUCUGAACCAGCCAAGUCGCGUGCAGGAAGAAUGUCCUUAAUGGAUUGUAAACUGCUUUUGCAGGGGAAUAAAGUGCAUCACGUGUGAUGUUUUGUAUGUACUCUGCGAAUAAGGAUCGGCUAACUCCGUGCCAGCCGCUGC
Molecule: ribosomal RNA, 494 nt
Filed under: uncultured bacterium
Lineage: Bacteria
Description: bacterial SSU rRNA
Rfam family: Bacterial small subunit ribosomal RNA
Source: RNAcentral